This 589-nucleotide long non-coding RNA is filed under the name Aedes aegypti (yellow fever mosquito). Its description in RNAcentral is "lncRNA AAEL025508". The record is from RNAcentral. Lineage: Eukaryota; Metazoa; Arthropoda; Insecta; Diptera; Culicidae.
UAAGUUACACACAGCUGCUGGCAAUUUUUUUUAAGAGUGUGUCUCUUUGCGUGCCUGUCAAACCGAUAGAAGAAAAAAAAAAAUACAAAAACGGUUCCGAAAAUUUGCAGCAAAACUUCAAGGAUUCAUCAACGCGAUUUAAUAGUGAAAGUAGUGUCGUUUGUAUCUGCUCAUAAUACGCUAUCGAUGUUGUCAUCAAUUAGGACGCGAUGCGGCAAAAAGCCAAUCAAGAAUGCUGCUGCAAAACAUGGCAAGCCGUUGUCGUUACUGUCGGAGCAAGGGUCGAUUAACUACGACUCUAGGUCAAAGUGGCCAUCGGAAGAACAGCUCUAAACAUUGCUGCCUUCUAUCCUCAGCAAACUGGACAACAAUCCAGUGAUCCCCGACAGCCGCUUCGGAUUCGUUUCCUGUGGCAGCCAUAUAGCAUCCCGGAGAACAAUCCAAAUAUCAAAAGGUGUCCAAAGACCAUCCCUAAAACGAAUGUUAUUCUGUCGAACAGCUGCUUCCAGUAUGAAACUGAUAACCGGCCACUGAAAAGAGAGUGGUUUAAAAUAAAUGUUUUAUGUAACAAUAUUUGAUUCAAACCUCA